GCUGCAGCUGCGUAUAAACUUCCAGGCGCGAUAGCUUGCCCACCUAAAGAUGAGGGCCCCUUCCUGUUAUGUCAUCAGAAAGCCCCUCCCCCAGAGUGGCUCUUGGGAUGCUAAGCGAGAGCAUGCUGGUAAUCACAGAAGUCCGGUUUUCCCAGUAAAUAACAAAAGGAUGACACGCUUGAAUAGCAUUGAUCAGCGCCUUCGGUACAUUGUAUAAUGUAGAACACUUUUUCCUGAAACGCCCAUAUAAAUGUAGUCCUUGACCUCCGGAGGCUUCCUUUGUGAAAAGAAGACCUUACUAAAAUUUUAAGAAGAAAGAGAAUUUUCACAGCCAUCUAUUACUGUGUCACUCCUCGUCACGAAUCGUACCGACUGUG
RNAcentral lists this long non-coding RNA (377 nucleotides) under Rattus norvegicus (Norway rat). RNAcentral describes it as "long non-coding RNA NONRATT029882". The record is from RNAcentral. Lineage: Eukaryota; Metazoa; Chordata; Mammalia; Rodentia; Muridae.